This 680-nucleotide long non-coding RNA is filed under the name Sus scrofa (pig). RNAcentral describes it as "lncRNA (ENSSSCG00035045590.1)". The record is from RNAcentral. Lineage: Eukaryota; Metazoa; Chordata; Mammalia; Artiodactyla; Suidae.
GACGGCACACACUGUAGCUAUUAUCUAAUCAUCUAAUAAUUAGCUCGACAUUUAGAAAAGGGCCUCGAGGGCCUUGGGAUGACACUGCCUUUUUCAGAUGCAAAGAUACUGUGAUUUUGCACUUGUGCCGAGCAAGAUGAGAGCAGAAGGGAAAAAUGACCCCAGGUUUUGCACGCCCUCAUCAGCCCUGAGCAGAGGCAGAUGAUUGGAGAGCUAAUGGAGCGUCAUCUUCAGGGCCCCUCAACUGCACAGCCCUGAGUGUUCUGUGAAAUUUCCGAGUGAAGAGGCUGUGGAGGAGAAAGCAGCCUUCCGCCCCAACACCUGGAGCACUGCUGUCCUUCAGUUUCCCUCAAUAGCCCCUGGAACAGAUGACCAGGGAAAAGCAUGUGAUUUCAGCCAGGACACGGAGGAGAGAGGCUACUCCUGAUGGCCAGGGCCCCAGGCAAGAUCUUGAACUAUCAAGGACUAAAGAUAAUCCCCCUUGGACUCCUGCCUUUAAAGAAAUCUCCACCAGGACCUCUUGAAAGACUCAUGGCACAUGUUUAAAUUAAAUAAGAAUCUGAAAGAGGACGGAUAUGUAUAUACGGAUGACUGAGUCACUUUGUUGGACAGCAGAAAUUAUCACGACCUUGUAAAUCAACUCCAAUAAAACUUAAAAAAGUUAAAUGUAGCUUGUAUGG